CUCCCCCUCUGCGAUCCCGUUCUGGAAGUUUCCUGGAAGAGAUGAAGAUCAAUCAGAUCAAUAAACUGACUAACUACCAACAGUUGCCUCCAUCAGGAUCCAUCUGGCCUCCUGCCGCUGUUCGGCCCCUCUUCCAGCUCAGUGAAGGUUGUUUUUUGGUUCAAACUCAACAGAGCGAUAAUCCCUCAGAGGAUUUAUUUACCGGGAUUAUCGUGUUGGCAGCGAUGCUUCCAGGUACGGGUGCGACCGUAAUCCCAACAAAGAGCAUCGUCUGGGGUGUGUGUGUUUUAUUAUUUAUCACAGGGUAUAAUCUGUUGUUAUUGUGGGUAUUAUGGCUUUCGUUCAGUAUCCACAGACAUGUGUACGGCUGCUGCCUGAGAGCUGUCACACACGGAGACAAUGAAGACAAUAAAAACUGAAUCAGA
Dicentrarchus labrax (European seabass) is the source of this 425-nucleotide long non-coding RNA. RefSeq lists it as uncharacterized. The transcript has 2 exons. Lineage: Eukaryota; Metazoa; Chordata; Actinopteri; Moronidae. The record is from RefSeq and is a predicted model, not a curated record.